CCCCCCUGAGAACGGGCGAAGAGUCACCUUGUUAAUGGUGGUGUUCUUCUAUCGUCACGGGCAGCGCAGAUGGCAGCCGUUGUUCAUCCUAGCCUGACGCCUGGCUUGGUAGCCAAUGCCGUUUUAUGCCUAGGACUCAUAA
Molecule: small nucleolar RNA, 142 nt
Organism: Rattus norvegicus (Norway rat)
Lineage: Eukaryota; Metazoa; Chordata; Mammalia; Rodentia; Muridae
Product: small nucleolar RNA SNORA48
Source: Ensembl